GCUGGGCAUGAUGGCACAUGCCUGUAAUCCCAGCAGCCUAGGAAGCUGAGGCAGGAUGAAUCAAAGCCAGCCUCAGGAAAGGCAAGAUGUUAAGCAAUUCAAUGAGACCCUGUCUCUA
Molecule: small RNA, 118 nt
Filed under: Marmota monax (woodchuck)
Lineage: Eukaryota; Metazoa; Chordata; Mammalia; Rodentia; Sciuridae
Source: RNAcentral